This 447-nucleotide ribosomal RNA is filed under the name uncultured bacterium. RNAcentral describes it as "bacterial SSU rRNA". It matches the Rfam family "Bacterial small subunit ribosomal RNA", at positions 355 to 825 of the family's 1533-position model. The record is from RNAcentral.
UGGGGAAUCUUGGACAAUGGGCGCAAGCCUGAUCCAGCCAUGCCGCGUGGAUGAUGAAGGCCUUAGGGUUGUAAAAUCCUUUCGUUGGGGACGAUAAUGACGGUACCCAAAGAAGAAGCUCCGGCUAACUUCGUGCCAGCAGCCGCGGUAAUACGAAGGGGGCUAGCGUUGUUCGGAUUUACUGGGCGUAAAGCGCGUGUAGGCGGAUUUGUAAGUUGGGGGUGAAAUCCCGAGGCUCAACCUCGGAACUGCCUCCAAAACUACAAGUCUGGACCUAAGUAGAGGCAAGUGGAAUUGCGAGUGUAGAGGUGAAAUUCGUAGAUAUUCGCAGGAACACCAGUGGCGAAGGCGACUUGCUGGACUUAUGGUGACGCUGAGACGCGAAAGCGUGGGGAGCAAACAGGAUUAGAUACCCUAGUAGUCCCUGAGCGGGCUGGCAAGGCGCAU